RNAcentral lists this ribosomal RNA (447 nucleotides) under uncultured bacterium. RNAcentral describes it as "partial 16S ribosomal RNA". It matches the Rfam family "Bacterial small subunit ribosomal RNA", at positions 328 to 792 of the family's 1533-position model. The record is from RNAcentral.
AAGCCAGACUCCUACGGGAGGCAGCAGUGGGGGAUAUUGCACAAUGGGGGAAACCCUGAUGCAGCGACGCCGCGUGGGUGAAGAAGCGCCUCGGCGCGUAAAGCCCUGUCAGCAGGGAAGAAAAUGACGGUACCUGAAGAAGAAGCCCCGGCUAACUACGUGCCAGCAGCCGCGGUAAUACGUAGGGGGCAAGCGUUAUCCGGAUUUACUGGGUGUAAAGGGGGCGCAGACGGCGAUGCAAGCCAGGAGUGAAAGCCCGGGGCCCAACCCCGGGACUGCUCUUGGAACUGCGUGGCUAGAGUGCAGGAGGGGCAGGCGGAAUUCCUGGUGUAGCGGUGAAAUGCGUAGAUAUCAGGAGGAACACCGGUGGCGAAGGCGGCCUGCUGGACUGCAACUGACGUUGGGGCCCGAAAGCGUGGGGAGCAAACAGGAUUAGAUACCCUGGUA